CACCACAAGCCACCAAAAAUCUUUAUUCAAUCAUCAGCUAAAAUUACAUUGCAAAGUAAGUUUAAAUAGUAAAGUUGGGCCCGAGCCAAUAUAAGUCUAAUUCUCUAAAUAAGGGUCCAAGAUAAUAAAUAAAGCUUAACUAGAAUAUAAAAUAAAUAAAUAUCAGAUGUCCUCAUCAACUCUCUCAGGGUGGGAGAAAACUCGACCCUGUCGAGUGGAUAUAUCCCUAUAGGCUGUAGUCAAUCUCCCAAUCAUAAGUUAAGUGACUGGGCAAGCUUCUUCCGACAUCUGUAGAUAUGUGUUAGUGGAGGUCUGAAUCUGGUGUACUCACCAACCCCCUUGGAGUGGACGGGAGGCAAUCUAGAUCAAGUAGGUUUAAAUAGUAAAGCGAACUCUAACGAGACCGGACCCGAGCCAAUACAAGUCCAAUUCUCUAAAUAAGAGUCCAAGAUAAUAAAUAAAGCUUACUAGAAAAUAAAAUAAAUUAAUAUCGGAUGCCCUCAUCACAAUCCUUCCAAGCUAUCAACGUGUCUGACGUGGAUCCUCCUCCCAUGCUAGAUCAGUGAUCAGAUUUCCAUUUCCUAUUGCAGACAACAGAAUGAGAAUGUUUCACUUCUCCAAUUUUGAUGUUAUACAAAGAAACGAGGUGUAGCAGUAAAUUGUAACCAUUUCUUGAUUGCUGUAGCCAUUUCGUUCCUUUGGGUGGAUGGUGAGUGACGAGUGUUUAGAAUGUAAAUGUUCCUUCUUUAGUUUGAUCCUUCAUUCUUUGUUUCCCAUGUUUCAAUGACUCAAUUGUUUGAAAUCAUAAAGUGCUCUUCUGAUUGGUGUUGUUAAAGAAACAAACAAACUGAUAGCAAGGAGACUUCUCAACAAGGUCAUAAUCUAUUAAAGAAUCUAAUCUAGAAUCUUAUUAAUGUAUUUUGUGCAAACGACGAGAGAGAAAUCACAAAAAACUACCUGGUGUACUGGAUAGGAUUGGAAAGAUCUCUUGGUUAAUCAGAUCGAGUACAAUUACCAAACAAGGCAAACAAGUUCUUCAAAAGCCUAAUUAGAGUAACCCCGGCUGCUCGGGGUUAGAUUGGGAAUUUUUCUAAUGGGAGAUCAGAGUGUUUUUCCUUGAACAAUGGCAGCAUGCUUAACACAUCACAAGCUCUGCUCCACCCCUACACUCAGGUAGCAAGAGGAUUUGAAUUGCCAGCAUUUAGCACCGUGAGUUAUACAAUCUCUCCAAUAUUAUAAAAAUUGGACAAAAACUUUGCAGUUUGAAAAUUGGAACUCUGGAAGGAAAAUAGGAUUAGAAGUUGAUUAUUGUGGACUCCGAAAAGCCUUCUUUGAGUAA
This 1339-nucleotide long non-coding RNA is filed under the name Olea europaea subsp. europaea. Lineage: Eukaryota; Viridiplantae; Streptophyta; Magnoliopsida; Lamiales; Oleaceae. The record is from RNAcentral.